This 22-nucleotide microRNA is filed under the name Caenorhabditis briggsae. RNAcentral describes it as "Cbr-Bantam-P2_5p* (star (passenger))". Lineage: Eukaryota; Metazoa; Nematoda; Chromadorea; Rhabditida; Rhabditidae. The record is from RNAcentral.
AGCUUUCGACAUGAUUCUAAAC